CCCUUAGAUGUUCUGGGCUGCACGCGCGCUACACUGAUGCACUCAACGAGUUUACGACCUUGCCCGAUAGGGCUGGGUAAUCUUUUUAAAAUGCAUCGUGAUGGGGAUAGAUUAUUGCAAUUAUUAAUCUUCAACGAGGAAUUCCUAGUAAGCGCGAGUCAUCAGCUCGUGCUGAUUACGUCCCCGCCCUUUGUACACACCGCCCGUCGCUCCUACCGAUUGAGUGCUCAGGUGAAUAAUUCGGACUGCAGCAAUGUUUGGAUCCCGAACGUUGCAGCGGAAAGUUUAGUGAACCUUAUCACUUAGAGGAAGGAGAAGUCGUAACA
This 326-nucleotide ribosomal RNA is filed under the name uncultured eukaryote. RNAcentral's name for it is "partial 18S ribosomal RNA". It matches the Rfam family "Eukaryotic small subunit ribosomal RNA", at positions 1470 to 1796 of the family's 1831-position model. The record is from RNAcentral.